CGCCCAAGACAAUCCAGUAAUGCUAAGUGUCUGAAUCCUUGAUUCGAUCCCUUCGGGGUGACGGUCUUGGCCUAGCACACGACCCUACGCUGGGGCGUUUAGCGUAUUAACA
This 112-nucleotide ribosomal RNA is filed under the name Clavibacter michiganensis. RNAcentral describes it as "23S ribosomal RNA". The record is from RNAcentral. Lineage: Bacteria; Bacillati; Actinomycetota; Actinomycetes; Micrococcales; Microbacteriaceae.